UGUCCGUCUCCCCCGAGCCUGAAUUGGAGCCGUCGGAGCCUCCUGUGGAAGCGGAGCCGCUGCCGGCAGCCUCCUCCAUCCCUGCCCUCUCCAACGGCCCGUCGGAGCCGGAGGCUUCGGAGCCCACUGGAACUGGGCUGGAUGAGCCGGGAAGCCCCGAGGAUGUUGCUGCAUCCCUGGCAGUGCAGAUCGUGUCCGAGGCGCUGGCCACAGUGGCGGAAAGCGCUGAAGCGACUCCGGCUCCAGCUGCGGAGCUUCCCGACGGAGGGGACGCAGUCCCGGAGAGCAGCGACUCCGGAGAGAGCGGAGAGGAGCUGGAGCCCUCCCAGAACCUGGCAGAAACCCAGUGCGACUUGGCCGAGGCGCCGGAGCCGGACAGGGACCAGGAGCCUGUGGACCCUCCGGACACGGCCGAGCCCCUCGGCUCCACAUGAGCCCAUGUUC
Long non-coding RNA from Nothoprocta perdicaria, 444 nucleotides. RefSeq lists it as uncharacterized. Lineage: Eukaryota; Metazoa; Chordata; Aves; Tinamiformes; Tinamidae. The transcript has 2 exons. The record is from RefSeq and is a predicted model, not a curated record.